This 119-nucleotide ribosomal RNA is filed under the name Vigna radiata var. radiata (mung bean). The record is from RNAcentral. Lineage: Eukaryota; Viridiplantae; Streptophyta; Magnoliopsida; Fabales; Fabaceae.
GCGUGCGAUCAUACCAGCACUAAUGCACCGGAUCCCAUCAGAACUCCGCAGUUAAGGGUUGUUUUUCGUCCCUUUAUUUAUUCCCAAUGCCGAAGCCAUAUAUACAUUCAUCGCGCAAU